UGCGUGCAGAAAUAUCUGUGUUUCUUUAGUUAUGUUCAAUUCACACGUUUUAGUAUCAAGAAUAAAUAUUAACGAUCCGCUCGAUAAACAAAUGCAUAAACAAAUAUAGAUAAUCUAUAUAAUUAAUAAAUAUAAGUUAAUACAAAUAAUUGUUACGAAAAAAAAACAGCAGGGUGUAUUAAUAUCUACGAUCAUUCUAUUAAAACAAAUUAGAGGUUAGUCGGUAUACGUAUGUAUGUAAAUUCACGUUAGAUUUCAUCAUAUAAACUCAUAACCUCUUCUAUGCUGUAUAUUUGAUAUCUUAAGAGUACGAAAAGGGUAUAAUAAAAUAGUGAAGAAGGAACAAAUAAAAGAAUGCGGUGUGUUAUGACAAUUAAGAAUAAAUUAUUACCGGUAUUUCGUCAUAAUGCGACGAUUUGUCGAUCGUUUUACAGAAAUCAUCAUUUAGAAAUUCGCAAUGUAUUACCGGUUUAUAUUAAACCACAAUUUCCUCGAAUAGAACUUCCUAAUCAAAGCCUUGGAAUAUUGAGUCGAAAUAUUCGAAAUCGUAGAGAAUGCACAGCUAUUUUAUCUGUCAGAUUAUUUUCAUCUAAGAAACCAGAUAAACUUCCUCCAAAUGAAAAUGAUGCAGAGCAAUCGGAAGACUAUUCAGCCACUUUACCUGCUACGGUGGUUGUACCAGAAGUAUGGCCUCAUGUACCGGUUAUUGCCAUCAGUAGAAACCCUGUUUUUCCUAGAUUUAUUAAGCUUAUAGAACUUUCUAAUCCUAUUCUUAUUGAUUUAAUACGUAGAAAGGUUAAAUUAAAUCAGCCUUAUGUUGGAAUAUUUUUGAAGAAGAACGAAGAAAACGAAUCAGAGAUAGUAGAAAAUCUUAAUGAUAUUUAUUCUGUUGGUACAUUUGCCCAAAUUCAUGAAGUACAAGAUUUAGGAAAUCGUUUAAGACUUGUAAUAAUGGCGCAUAGAAGAAUUAAGAUUGUUGGGCAAAUAUUGGAAGAUGUUGCUGCGGUACAACCAGUGCAUGACGAUACAAUGACUGCUGGUAAAGUGAGCCGUAGAUCUGCACAACGCAAUAAAAAGUCAGAGAAGACAUCUGGAUCGACAGAAAAUACAGAUAAUUCUACUGUAGUAGAAAAUAUGAAAGAUAAACUACCAUUGGAACAAAAACAAGCAGAGCUCUCUCCUGAAUCGACAUCAGAUUCUCAGCCGAUUUUAAUGGUAGAAGUUGUGAAUGUAACGCAUGAAAAAUUUAAACAGACCGAAGAAAUUAAGGCACUUACUCAAGAAUUAAUUAAAACUAUUAGAGAUAUUAUAAGUAUGAAUCCUCUGUAUCGAGAAUCUCUGCAACAAAUGCUUCAUCAAGGACAAAGGGUGGUCGACAAUCCAGUUUAUCUCAGUGAUCUUGGUGCUGCUUUAACAGGAGCAGAUGCACAAGAACUGCAACAAGUGCUAGAGGAAAUGGAUAUUCUUAAAAGAUUGAGAUUAUCGCUUGCACUUUUAAAAAAAGAAUAUGAAUUAAGUAAACUACAACAAAAGAUUGGUAGAGAAGUUGAGGAAAAAGUAAAACAACAACAUAGAAAAUAUAUAUUGCAUGAGCAGUUAAAAGUUAUUAAAAAAGAACUAGGUUUAGAAAAGGACGAUAAAGAUGCCAUAGAAGAAAAAUAUAGGGAAAAAAUAAGACAAAAAACAGUUCCCAAACCGGUUAUGGAUGUGUUAGAAGAAGAAUUAAAUAAAUUAAGUUUCUUAGAAAGUCAUAGUAGUGAAUUUAAUGUUACAAGAAAUUAUUUAGAUUGGCUAACUUCGAUGCCUUGGGGUAUAACUAGUCCAGAAAAUUUAAAUUUGCAACAAGCUGUAGAAAUUUUAGACGAAGAUCAUUAUGGAAUGGAAGAUAUCAAAAAAAGAAUACUUGAAUUUAUUGCUGUCAGCCAACUGAAAGGUUCAACUCAGGGUAAAAUAUUAUGUUUUCAUGGUCCACCUGGAGUAGGAAAAACAUCUAUAGCUAAAUCGAUAGCUCGAGCACUUAACAGAGAGUAUUUCAGAUUUAGUGUUGGAGGAAUGACAGAUGUAGCAGAAAUUAAAGGACAUAGACGAACAUAUGUAGGGGCCAUGCCCGGCAAAGUAAUUCAGUGCUUGAAAAAGACUCAAACUGAAAAUCCAUUAGUGUUGAUAGACGAAGUAGAUAAAAUUGGAAAAGGACAUCAAGGAGAUCCUGCUUCUGCCCUUUUAGAAAUGUUGGAUCCGGAACAAAAUGCAAACUUCUUAGAUCAUUAUUUGGACGUUGCAGUCGACUUAUCGAAAGUUUUGUUUAUAUGUACGGCGAAUGUGGUUGAUACUAUUCCAGAACCUCUUAGAGAUCGAAUGGAAAUGAUCGAAAUGUCCGGUUAUGUAGCAGAAGAAAAACUUGCAAUAGCUAAACAAUAUUUAAUACCACAGGCUAUGAACGAUUCCGGACUUAAUGAUACACAUAUUAAUAUGCAAGACAAUUCGCUUACAUCUUUGAUUAAAUAUUAUUGCAGAGAAUCAGGAGUUAGAAAUCUUCAGAAACAUAUAGAAAAAAUUCACCGCAAAGUGGCUUUUAAAGUUGUUAAAAAAGAAAUAGACAAAGUUGAUAUUACCGCAACAAAUUUACACGAAUUUGUAGGAAAACCAGUAUUUACUCAAGAUAGAAUGUAUGAAAUUACACCACCAGGUGUAGUCAUGGGUCUUGCAUGGACUGCCAUGGGAGGUUCCACAUUAUUUAUAGAAACUGCUGUUCGAAAACCUGUAAAUUUAAAUAAGAUGGAGGGUACAUGCGAAUCAACUGGUCAUUUAGGAGACGUAAUGAAAGAAUCAAUACAUAUAGCAAUGACAGUAGCUAGGAACUUUUUAAAACAAGAAGAUCCAUCGAACACAUUUUUAUAUGAUUCUCAUAUACAUUUACAUGUUCCCGAAGGAGCUACUCCUAAAGAUGGACCAAGCGCGGGCGUUACUAUUGCAACAGCAUUAAUUUCUUUAGCUAAAAAUCAAGCUAUUAGACAAGAUGUUGCUAUGACAGGAGAACUUAGUUUAAUAGGAAAAGUUCUACCUGUUGGUGGUAUUAAGGAAAAGACAAUAGCGGCCAAAAGAGUAGGCGUUAAUUGCAUAAUAUUACCAGAGGAAAAUAAGAAAGAUUUCAAUGGUCUCCCAAAAUACAUAACAGAUGGUCUUGAGGUUCAUUUUGCUUCAACAUUUGAAGAUGUUUAUCGUAUAUGUUUUUUAGGGCAGAAGACUCCAACUAUUGAUAAUGAUGAAACCUUUUCCAAUCUUAAUGUGUCACCCAAACAACCAGCAUCUUUACAUGGUAAAGGGAAUUGCUUAUGAAUAUCAUAGAUUUUUAUAAUCAAUAUUCAUUUAACGAAUGAAAGAUUCUACACAAAGAUCAAUAUAAUAAUUAACAAUAUUAAAGCCGAUGUAUAUUUGUUAAGAAAAUAGUUAAAAAUGAUAAUAUGCAAUCUAUUAAAGUGAAGAUAUCAUUCGCUUACAAAAUUUGCUAAAUCGUUUAAACACAUUUUAUAUUAAAUGAUAAAGUAUAGAAGACACAAAUAGAGAUAUGGCCAAAUGUACUUUAUUUUUUUAUUGCAUUUUUAUUACAAAUAAAUAUAAAAUAUUAAAUUUAAUUUUGUUUCAUAGCACACACAUCAGUUACGCGUAUCAUUAGUUUAUAUAAAUUUAUUAUAAUUGAGAGAAAUAAAAUAACAUUGCUAUUUAAA
Molecule: unclassified non-coding RNA, 3725 nt
Filed under: Polistes fuscatus (common paper wasp)
Lineage: Eukaryota; Metazoa; Arthropoda; Insecta; Hymenoptera; Vespidae
Description: lon protease homolog, mitochondrial, transcript variant X1
Source: RNAcentral